This 264-nucleotide signal recognition particle RNA is filed under the name Chloroflexota bacterium. RNAcentral describes it as "Chloroflexi bacterium (sediment metagenome) signal recognition particle sRNA large type". It matches the Rfam family "Bacterial large signal recognition particle RNA". From Rfam's summary of the family: The signal recognition particle (SRP) is a universally conserved ribonucleoprotein involved in the co-translational targeting of proteins to membranes. Lineage: Bacteria; Bacillati; Chloroflexota. The record is from RNAcentral.
UCGUGCUAGACGGGGAGCUAGCGGUGCCCUGUACCCGCAAUCCGCUAUAGCGGGGUCGAAUUCCCGUCCGAGGUCCCGGCCUGUUGCACCGGCCGGCGCUCGGGGCGUUGACGACCGGGUCCUGCGCGGCAGGAGCCUGUGAACCCCGCCAGGUCCGGAAGGAAGCAACGGUAAGCAGGGACUCCUGGGUGCCGCAGGGGUGCCUGGCCUGAGCCACUGGAGGCCGGUACGGCAGGAGGUCGCCGAUCGACGACGGGUGCACGA